CCUAAAGUUUGCAAUACACGUAUAGAGCUAAUGCUUGUCUACUUUCAAAUAACACUCUACAACUUCAUGUGUAAUAUGAUGCUAUCUGAACUUUGCAGUGACAGAAACAUUUGAACCGCAAGUGGGAACAGUGCGCCUUAGAAAUGUUGAAGAGACUAAAUGUUUACAGUAGAGCUGAAUAUUUGCGAAGGCUCCAACUCCAACAAGAGUUGAGGCUUUCUGAAGGAAUUUUGCUGAACACUUCGGAUUCUGGCUAAAGGAAAGCCUUGGGAAACUAACUUACAACUGUACAUAUAGUGAGAGAACUCCAGAGAAACUUACCUUUGAAGGUACGUGUUUACCUUUUAAGAGAAAAUGAGGCCUGGGACCUUGGACACAUUUCUAAGUCAUAAAAGCCAGAGACGCUGGGGCUUAUUUGGCCAUUGAAAAGAUGGAUUUACAUUUCACAUGUUUGGAGCGAGAACUCAGAAUCUUUUCCAUCAAAUUUCUAAGGAGCACAAGUUUUCAUCUCUUGUUUCAAGAGGGUAGGGGGCACCAGCUGUCAUUUCCUCUUAUAUAUAAGCAGAGAAAUUUCAUUCCAACAAUCCCUUGCCUGUAGAGUGCCUGGGCAUUCACACAGAGAUUAUGCCAUCUGACUUUCAUCACAUCACCACAGGGGUAAGAUCUGUGGCAAUGGGUGGGUGACAUAGUUAUUGAGGUGUUCUGGAUCAG
Diceros bicornis minor is the source of this 711-nucleotide long non-coding RNA. RefSeq lists it as uncharacterized. The transcript has 3 exons. NCBI's taxonomy places the organism in Eukaryota, Metazoa, Chordata, Mammalia, Perissodactyla, Rhinocerotidae. The record is from RefSeq and is a predicted model, not a curated record.